Prosopis cineraria is the source of this 2456-nucleotide long non-coding RNA. RefSeq lists it as uncharacterized. The record is from RefSeq and is a predicted model, not a curated record. NCBI's taxonomy places the organism in Eukaryota, Viridiplantae, Streptophyta, Magnoliopsida, Fabales, Fabaceae. The transcript is spliced from 3 exons.
AAUCGUCUCCUCGUCUCCAUUAACUAUGCUUCUCCGUUCACUGCUCCUUCCCCAUGCGUUUUCGUGUCUCUCAAUGCUCAAUGUCUUCAAGAAAUAUCAGGCCUUUGACAGUUCAUAUUUCAAACACUUUUUCUAUUAUGUCAUUGUUCUUCUUCUUCAAUUUCUUCACCUUCCUCUUGCUAUGUUUUCUAGGGAUUUUCUUGCUUUCACCUCAAAUUCAAAACCUACUCAAUCAAUCGCAGGGAUUUAGAGUAUAACAAAUUCAUUGACGAAUAAUGAUCUUGGCGAUGGCUGAUAUGAAUUUCAACAAUUCAAUGUUGUAUCAAUUUGUUGGUGCUCGAUAACUCGAUGUUGCAUUGAGUCAGUGGUGCUCGAUUUUGAAAUCUCUUUUUUCAAGGCCUUCCAUUUUCAGUUCAUUCGUUUUGCAUCAAAGAUUGUCCUAGGUUUGUAAUCACAGCUGAAAAGACUUGUGAUUUCUUUUAUCAAGUUGUUGAGGCUGAUUUUAGCUAUGGUGAUCGUGAUGUUUAGUUUACCAUUUUCAAAAAAUGGUAUAAGAUUUAGAGUUGUGAGGAGAUUGGAAGAUGUCCUAAGAGUUUUCCGAUUUUUAUUUAUUUGUAUAAGAUGACCAUGUGGAGGCACGUGAAUUGUUCACCAGAAGGGAAUUUGCAAGAUGACUGGUUAAAUUAAAUUCUUUUCUAGAAUGGUUUGUUCUAACCAAAAGCAUGAACAUGCACGAUAGUUGGAAAUGUUUUAAACGCUGGUGAAACUUUUCUUUUUCUGUGAUUUUGUUUGUAAACGGAUUUCUUUAUGGUUCACAAAUCCAAAACCCAAGAUUACCAAUAGUUACACUCUUUGGUUCAUUGGUUACUGCUUUUGAUGAUAUCAAGGUUGAAGACACAGAUCUUGUAGCCAUUCAAGAUAACAAAUGAUUGAUUUUUACUCCUAGAAUAAAAUCUAUUUUUUCCGGGCAGAAGUUUCAUUUUUCCCCCCUCAAUUUGCAAUUAAAGCCUUGGCAGCUGGUGUUAUCCCCGGCAAAUUAUCUUCAAAAAGUUGCUUCAAUUCUAUUGUACUUGAAGGUUAAGAGAACUUGAAAUUCUUUCGUGAUAGGUAAAUUCAUACCCACCUCUUUUCCUCAUUAAUGAAUUUCUGUUUUGCUAAUUGCUUUACUAAGUAUAUGUUGUUUUUCAAUAGCAUAGAAUUAAUUAUUAUGUCACCUUAAUUUCUUAACAUUUAAGAAAUAGGUUUACUUGUAGUCACUUUUUAUGGACAUAAAAUGUAUUUUACAUUUGAAAUGAGAAUGAGAUUCAUAAAUUGUCCAAGCCUAAUGCAUGCAACAAUUAAGCAAGAGUAAAACUAAUAAACUAACGAAAUCCAAUACAUUCAUUCUUUUGAAGUCUCAAUUGAUGAACAGCAAAAAAGUAGGUCACUGUGAACUUAGUAUAACUUCAUUUCUUGGAGAGGUUAAUGUAGGUAUAAACCUAAAGAUAUCACAAAUUAAUUUACCAAGGACCUUUUUAUUCCCACUAGACACUUGAUUUUCCUGACAAAGGUAAUUAUCAAGCUUGUCAAUUGAUUUGAUAGCUUAAAUAGGUUUAGUGGUGGUGUAUCAUAGGAAAAAUGAGUGUUCUGUUAGACUCAUUUCAUUCAUACAAGAUUCCUGGCUUCUGAAUUGUAGCAAUAGUAUAGGUAUACAGAUCAUUUGACCAGGCCAUUAAAUGUGCCAAAUUUUUGUUUCUUGACUAGAUAAUUAUUUCACUAUCACACCAAUCAUCCUCCCUUCCAUUGUAAUCAUCUAGCAUUCAUUGUUCUCUGUUGGGUUUUAGAAUCAAAGUAUUCAAUUUUCCAUCAUAUUUAAAUCAUAUUAUCUCUUUGUAAAUGGACGUUUGUUUGGGGCGUGUGAUGAUAUUUCUUUUUCACAAAGAUUGCUAAAAGUAUGUCAAAGGGAAUCAUGGUAGUUGAACACGACAGAGAAGAUUGAGGCAACUGGAAAGAAAAAGGAGGAAGGGAUAUAAUAAGUAUAUUUCAAGGCUGCUAAAUAUGGCAGAGCAUCAAAAAGAUAUAAUAAGAAGAUUGACUAAUGAGUAGAGAGCAGCUAUGGUGACUAUUUUCGUGUCUACAAGGUGAUAUUCUUUAGAAAUACAAUGUGUUUGUUUUGGGGACACUUAUUUUGUUCUGUUCAGGUUGUGUUAGGGGAAAAUGGUCAAUAAAUUCCUAAUUUACUGGAUCUUGAAGAUGCUUAAAGACUAGUUGUAAGUAAUAGAGGCAAUUAUCUGAGCAAUGGCUUGGGAAAGAUUGUUAAAGAAUCAAGGAAGAUUUGAAGACGUUGUUGUCACAACUAUCUACUGCUAAAAGCAUUGACCUACUAGUAAAUUAUUUGACUUCAGGAUUGUCUGUAAAUAGUGAUGAAGCUAAGACUUUUCAUGCUUCAUUUAACACCUUAAAAUUUCAUAUUGAUU